Long non-coding RNA from Cryptotermes secundus, 293 nucleotides. RefSeq lists it as uncharacterized. The record is from RefSeq and is a predicted model, not a curated record. The transcript has 3 exons. Lineage: Eukaryota; Metazoa; Arthropoda; Insecta; Blattodea; Kalotermitidae.
UUGACUGAAAUCUAAAAUAAGACGGUAAGAGGCAUAAAAGGUGCAAAUAGCAAAAUAAGACAUCAAUAAUUACAGAUAAGUAACUGAAGAAAUGGAAGAGAUGUCUGACAAGUUGUCAGUUGCGGAAGAAGUACGAGGAAUCUGCAACGCUCAAACUGAAGCAAAUGAAUAUUUGGAAGCGAAGAAUAUACCGGAAAUUUUUAACUUCUUACUUGGACAUUUGCUGCUUAAGAAACCCGACGAUCCUGUAGAAUUCCUGGCCACCCUGUUGAUGAAAUGCGUGUCAUUCAGAG